Molecule: ribosomal RNA, 821 nt
Filed under: uncultured bacterium
Lineage: Bacteria
Description: bacterial SSU rRNA
Rfam family: Bacterial small subunit ribosomal RNA
Source: RNAcentral
UGCAGUCGAACGGCAGCACGGAGCUUGCUCUGGUGGCGAGUGGCGAACGGGUGAGUAAUAUAUCGGAACGUACCCUGGAGUGGGGGAUAACGUAGCGAAAGUUACGCUAAUACCGCAUACGAUCUACGGAUGAAAGUGGGGGAUCGCAAGACCUCAUGCCCGUGGAGCGGCCGAUAUCUGAUUAGCUAGUUGGUAGGGUAAAAGCCUACCAAGGCAUCGAUCAGUAGCUGGUCUGAGAGGACGACCAGCCACACUGGAACUGAGACGCGGUCCAGACUCCUACGGGAGGCAGCAGUGGGGAAUUUUGGACAAUGGGCGAAAGCCUGAUCCAGCAAUGCCGCGUGAGUGAAGAAGGCCUUCGGGUUGUAAAGCUCUUUUGUCAGGGAAGAAACGGUGAGAGCUAAUAUCUCUUGCCAAUGACGGUACCUGAAGAAUAAGCGCCGGCUAACUACGUGCCAGCAGCCGCGGUAAUACGUAGGGUGCAAGCGUUAAUCGGAAUUACUGGGCGUAAAGCGUGCGCAGGCGGUUUUGUAAGUCUGAUGUGAAAUCCCCGGGCUCAACCUGGGAAUUGCAUUGGAGACUGCAAGGCUAGAAUCUGGCAGAGGGGGGUAGAAUUCCACGUGUAGCAGUGAAAUGCGUAGAUAUGUGGAGGAACACCGAUGGCGAAGGCAGCCCCCUGGGUCAAGAUUGACGCUCAUGCACGAAAGCGUGGGGAGCAAACAGGAUUAGAUACCCUGGUAGUCCACGCCCUAAACGAUGUCUACUAGUUGUCGGGUCUUAAUUGACUUGGUAACGCAGCUAACGCGUGAAGUAGACCGCCU